This 251-nucleotide unclassified non-coding RNA is filed under the name plant metagenome. RNAcentral's name for it is "partial contains small subunit ribosomal RNA, internal transcribed spacer 1, and 5.8S ribosomal RNA". The stretch from base 1 to 49 matches the Rfam family "Eukaryotic small subunit ribosomal RNA", at positions 1783 to 1831 of the family's 1831-position model. The record is from RNAcentral.
GGAAAGUCGUAACAAGGUUUCCGUAGGUGAACCUGCGGAAGGAUCAUUAAAGUUAUAGUCCCCCGGCCCUCUGGGCUGGGGUCUUCUAUACCACCCUUUGUUUAUUACACCUUUGUUGCUUUGGCAGGCCUGCCCUCGGGCUGCUGGCUCCGGCCGGCUCGCGUCUGGCAGAGGACCUAAACUCUGUUUGUAUAUGAAGUCUGAGUACUAUAUAAUAGUUAAAACUUUCAACAACGGAUCUCUUGGUUCUG